This 84-nucleotide transfer RNA is filed under the name Felis catus (domestic cat). It matches the Rfam family "tRNA". From Rfam's summary of the family: Transfer RNA (tRNA) molecules are approximately 80 nucleotides in length. Their secondary structure includes four short double-helical elements and three loops (D, anti-codon, and T loops). The record is from Rfam by way of RNAcentral. Lineage: Eukaryota; Metazoa; Chordata; Mammalia; Carnivora; Felidae.
GCUGGGUGGCUCAGUCAGUUGAGUGUCUGACUUCUACUCAGGUCAUGAUCUCACAAUUCAUGGGUUCAAGCCCCAUACCGGGCU